AUUUUAUACUCAUCGCCGUUACCUUAAAAAAAGGGAAAAAAAAAACUAAAUUUCCAUACUCUACAGUAUUGCGUGGGUGUGGUUGAUUUUUGCCUAUUUUUGUUCGAUAAAAGGGGAAAUUUGUAUUCCGUACUUGAUGAGGUUUUGUGAGUAACAAAACCAUUUUUGGUCUCUGUCUACUCUCUAAGUCCUUCUAUUUGUUAUCCAUGUCGACACAUCGGAUUGCGAAGAAAAACUGAAUACUUCAUCGUCGCGAAGUAAGAAAAACAAAUAGAAUAAGUGUUAGGAAGCAAGCAAACUAAGCUAAAAAAAAAAUUAAGUUAUUACUACUAAGUCUCGUGCACACUUAUAGUACGAACACUGAAAGAAUGCAAUGCACAUAUGGAGUUGUAACAAUGUUCAGGGACAUUAAGUAAGAUCCGAUUUUUGACUUAUUUUAAAGGACAAAGGCUGAAAUCGAUUAGGAAAACCUAAUUUCCUUACUUCGUUCAGGAUUUAUCACUGCCCAAAUCGCCCUGCAUGUACCCUUCACUUAUACAUAAUACACCGAAGCUACAAUGAUUUUUAUAAUAUCAAGUACGAUUUUGUUUUUUAUUAUGUUUAUGGCAGUUACCGGAGAGACUCGGGUAUCGUGUAUCGUCUAUCGUGCUAUAUCGAAACUGUCUUACAUGAAACUUUGGUUUUUUAUCCGUAUUAUCUUAUAAACUGGCAACACCGGCUGACAUAGUGGCUCUGCGGCGUACAAUUAGGUAAAUAUGGAUUUAAAAUAAACUUGACUUCAUGUAAAAGGGGGCUUCAGUUGUAAUUUCCAAUUUCAAAGAGAAAAGUUUUGGUGCUUCCAGGUUUUAAAAUAUCCAGUAAAAUUUGCGACUUGUGAUUGCUUAACAUAUAGAAAUCAUUAAAAAUUGUAUCAAAGUAGCAGCUCAACACCCAUCGAUUCUCCAUUUGCCAGAGAGGAUUGGGUCGUCAUCACAGCCUCUAUAUUCAGGCCACUGGGAUGAUAUGAUUUAACUUUUUUUCCUUUAGAGCUACUUUAAAGCCCAGGUCCAUGCUGAGAAUCUGCAAAUUUUCAACAUUUUCGGAUUAUCGCAGACAUAAUGCCACUUGUUUUGACCAAUCGCUCAGACGAUGUCCCCGGUGCCGGCCAGAGAGAAGAGCAAAUUGAGAAAGGGAAUGACAUAUGGAAACGUUCGCGGCCUAGUGAACACUCACUUUCCCACCUUACCGCCUGAACACUCACUAAAGCUACGCCCAAUGUUAACGCAACCGUACGGAGAUGUGAAUCCGUGAUUAAUAACUUGUUAGUCGCGGUUCGCACCUACUCGACGUAUGCGCCAAUGAGCUCACGACCAUCCUGGACAUUUGCACGAUAGUAUAAUUUGCUUUGUUACGUUGACUUCUUUCUUUUCUUUUUCUUCAUAUUUCACAAAAAAAAAAAAACAAAAUGUCAUUCUUAACGAAAGUCGCUUCGCAACGUUCUAUACGUAAGGAACUUUUGUGAUUCUGGCGAGUGUUUGAAUGAAAAAAAAUUCGAUUUUCAACGUAGAAAAAUAAAAAAAAAAAUGGCAAACCUUUACUUAUUUACUAAGGUUUAAAUUAACUUGAGUGUUUUCUUUGGAUUUCUUUUUUUUUUAUUUUUUUUUUAUUUUUAUUUUUACACUCUGACGCCAUAUCUUUUGUACAACUUUCGAAAUUCGAAAUGAGGUAAAAAGUCCUUCGGUUUAUUGAAUAAACUUUUUUUUUUUUAUUAUGCAUCCAGAAUUAAACGCUAAUGUAUUAAGCUCUGACCUACUUUCCCUUUAUUCCAUAGCAGCAUACGCUCCGUCUGUAAUUUUUAUAACAAAUGCGUCGAUUCUGGUUUAUAAUUCAAUCAUCGAAUUCAAUUGAAAAGAAAAUGUCAAAAAAAAAAAAAAAAAAAAAAAAAA
Molecule: long non-coding RNA, 1925 nt
Organism: Glossina fuscipes
Lineage: Eukaryota; Metazoa; Arthropoda; Insecta; Diptera; Glossinidae
Exons: 2
Source: RefSeq, a predicted model, not a curated record